Molecule: ribosomal RNA, 717 nt
Filed under: Triticum aestivum (bread wheat)
Lineage: Eukaryota; Viridiplantae; Streptophyta; Magnoliopsida; Poales; Poaceae
Description: partial small subunit ribosomal RNA
Source: RNAcentral
AUGGGCAGCAUGAGUGAGAUAGUCAUCGAGAAUGCCCCUUGCCUGGAAAGAUUCGCCAGAUCAGAUUUAUUUCGCAGAACCAGCCCACUGCGCAAAGCACCAGUCUUCCGGGUAAUUAGUGCGCCGAAACUGGCGAUCUUGGGCUCACUGACAGACAACUUUGAUAAACUCAAUCUUGGAACCAGAGUUUCACAGGAAAUGGUUGCCGGUAACUUGGAAAUGUUGAUGCGCGGUGUUAAGGUUUUACAUAUCACAUCUAGUGGCCCUAAUCUUGAUGCAGUUCUUGGCUUCCUCAGAGUCUUUCCUUUCUUGGAGAAGCUAUACAUAAUGUCAUCUCUGCAGACGGAUAUGCAAAAUGCGCAUCAUCAUGAGCCAACAGCUCUGAUUGAGUCUCUUGACCAUAUCAGAUAUGUUGAGUUGAAGUGUUACACGGGCACGGAGCUGGAUGUUGACUUUGCUAAGUUCUUUGUUCUCAAUGCUAAGGCGCUCGAGUUGAUGAAAUUUGUUGUCGAAGGCAGAUGCACUCAGAAAUGGAGAACUGAUCAGUACAAGUGCCUACAGUUUGAUAGUAGGGCUUCUCCAAAUGCUCUAUUGGAUUUUAGAUCUUACUCUGGUCAUGCAUAUCCUACUGGAUGUAUCCGAAGGGGCAAUCACCACAAUGAGCAUGUCCUGUCCAUGGCUAAUCCCUUCGAUAGCUCUUCUUGUAGUCACUGCAGA